Non-coding RNA from Merluccius polli (Benguela hake), 72 nucleotides. Lineage: Eukaryota; Metazoa; Chordata; Actinopteri; Gadiformes; Merlucciidae. The record is from the annotation of a GenBank genome assembly.
GGUCUUGUCUAGCUCGAGUAGAGCACGGCAUUAACACUGCCAGGGUUGGGGGUUCGAUUCCCACUGGGGCCA